AUUGAACGCUGGCGGCAUGCCUUACACAUGCAAGUCGAACGGCAGCACGGAGCUUGCUCUGGUGGCGAGUGGCGAACGGGUGAGUAAUAUAUCGGAACGUACCCUGGAGUGGGGGAUAACGUAGCGAAAGUUACGCUAAUACCGCAUACGAUCUACGGAUGAAAGUGGGGGAUCGCAAGACCUCAUGCUCGUGGAGCGGCCGAUAUCUGAUUAGCUAGUUGGUAGGGUAAAAGCCUACCA
RNAcentral lists this ribosomal RNA (240 nucleotides) under Janthinobacterium sp. RNAcentral describes it as "partial 16S ribosomal RNA". It matches the Rfam family "Bacterial small subunit ribosomal RNA", at positions 30 to 270 of the family's 1533-position model. The record is from RNAcentral. Lineage: Bacteria; Pseudomonadati; Pseudomonadota; Betaproteobacteria; Burkholderiales; Oxalobacteraceae.